RNAcentral lists this unclassified non-coding RNA (227 nucleotides) under uncultured Gemmatimonadota bacterium. Its description in RNAcentral is "uncultured Gemmatimonadetes bacterium contains 16S-23S intergenic spacer region". The record is from RNAcentral. Lineage: Bacteria; Pseudomonadati; Gemmatimonadota.
UCCGAUUUGUCACAGGGCUUUCACCAGGAUGUCAAGUCCAGGUAAGGUUCUUCGCGUUGCUUCGAAUGAAACCACAUGCUCCACCGCUUGUGCGGGCCCCCGUCAAUUCCUUUGAGUUUCAGCCUUGCGGCCGUACUCCCCAGGCGGGGUGCUUAACGCGUUAGCUGCGACGCUGAAAGGGUCGCUCCCCCCAGCAUCUAGCACCCAUCGUUUACGGCGUGGACUAC